UCUGAAGAACUGUAAUGCCAUUAAUUUGGUGUUGCAGGGAAACAGGACUGUUACUUUGAAAAAAUUAGAGUCGUUUAAAGCAGGCUAACGCUUGAAUACAUUAGCAUGGAAUAAUGAAAUAGGACGUUUGAUCCUAUUUUGUUGGUUUCUAGGAUUGACGUAAUGAUUAAUAGGGAUAGUUGGGGGCAUUAGUAUUCAAUUGUCAGAGGUGAAAUUCUUGGAUUUAUUGAAGACUAACUACUGCGAAAGCAUUUGCCAAGGAUGUUUUCAUUAAUCAAGAACGAAAGUUAGGGGAUCGAAGACGAUCAGAUACCGUCGUAGUCUUAACCAUAAACUAUGCCGACUAGGGAUCGGAUGAUGUUAAUUUUUUAAUGACUCAUUCGGCGCCUUACG
RNAcentral lists this ribosomal RNA (393 nucleotides) under uncultured Glomeromycotina. RNAcentral's name for it is "SSU rRNA". It matches the Rfam family "Eukaryotic small subunit ribosomal RNA", at positions 702 to 1092 of the family's 1831-position model. The record is from RNAcentral. Lineage: Eukaryota; Fungi; Glomeromycota.